RNAcentral lists this transfer RNA (75 nucleotides) under Bacteroidota bacterium. RNAcentral describes it as "Bacteroidetes bacterium tRNA-Pro". It matches the Rfam family "tRNA". Rfam says of the family: Transfer RNA (tRNA) molecules are approximately 80 nucleotides in length. Lineage: Bacteria; Pseudomonadati; Bacteroidota. The record is from RNAcentral. RNAcentral also lists the same sequence under 1 other name.
CGGCGUGUAGCGCAGCCCGGUUAGCGCACUACUUUGGGGUAGUAGGGGUCGGCAGUUCGAAUCUGCCCACGCCGA